Long non-coding RNA from Urocitellus parryii (Arctic ground squirrel), 2122 nucleotides. RefSeq lists it as uncharacterized. NCBI's taxonomy places the organism in Eukaryota, Metazoa, Chordata, Mammalia, Rodentia, Sciuridae. The record is from RefSeq and is a predicted model, not a curated record.
CUUUGAGUCAUAGCAGUGAAAAAGCUGACUGAAACAGUGGGUGAAGUUUAAACUCAGCUUGGCACAUGAGGCCCCUGUGGCCUCUUCCCUGCCUGCUUCCCAGCCUCCCUGCCUGCUAUGUUUCCUAAAGUGUUCCCUCUGGACCAGCACCCCCUGGCAACUUGUUAGACAUAUGAACUCUGGGGCUCUACACCAGACCUGCUGACCACAAACUCAGCGGUGGGUGCGGGCCAGCAGCCUGCACUUUAAAGCCCCACAGGAGAUGCUGACAGGCACUGAAGUUCCAGAACUUCACACUGAAUACCCUUUACUGCAGCCAGAUCACGCUCCCCUCGCCUCUAGGCCUUUACUUGCACUAGUUCCUCUGGCUGAAUGCCUUCACCUUCCUUAACUCCUCUUUGUCCUUUCAGAGUCAGCUUAGGCUAUUCAGGGCCUUCCUCCACGUUCUUUUGUAUUUCAUGAUGAUCCUGGGAUACCUUUGGUGUGGCAAAAACCAACGCCUGAUCAUGACAGAUUCCCCCAGCACAAGCCUCUCAGGAAGGAACUCUCCUUCCAYACACACACAGGGGAGGCGUCCUAAUGUGCGGAAUUUGGAGAAUGGGUUUUCUAACCAGAAGAGUGUGCAGAGGCUCAGAGGUGAAGGCUACAUGAACAGGAAGGAACAGGGCAAAGAGAGAAAACGGAAUGCAGACAGUGAGCACACCUUUCAGUGAAGAGCCUCUCCCAUCUCUAGGCACAGCCUCAGUAAAAUUGAGGACAGCUCAGCGACUGUAUGGAAGCCACCCUUCAGCACCCUUCCUCCCAACCCCACAGCCCAACUACAGAAUGAGUUCGGAGCUGCCUGUGACUGCCAGGCUGCUCUUCCCUCCAUGGGCCAUGGGGCUGUGUCUACCACCAAUCUGAAAGUGUGUCAAGCCCCACAUCCCUGUCCCUGUCCCUGUCCCUGCCUGGGUUGCUGGCACAGAGAUUGCCACUCAGAGGCAGGUGCUGGGAAGCAUCUGAGUGACAGCAGGGAAGGGCUCUUWAAGCCUGGGUCCUGGAACCUUCGGCUUUGGCUUUGGUUUUCACCCGUYCCCAACACACCCACUGUGAUCUGAAUCGGAUCUUGAGGGGGAGGGAGGGCUUCAGGACUCCUCCAUCAGCCAUUAUCGGGUAUCCACGGAGGGUCAGCCUGCUCCAGAGGCAGUCUACUGCCUGGCAUAGAAAAAUAAAUCAGUGUAUGAAACCAAGCCAAGGCAAACAGCAGCUUUUAAAAAGUCAUCUUCCAAUAAAUAAUUUACUACAGAGGAGUAUUUUCCUUUAACAGCAAAACACUGAUAAAUUCAGAAGUUAUUUUUGUAAAAAAAAUAUCUGUUUAUUUACUCACAUGUAUAAAAAUAAGGUUUUAGGGCCAUCCUCUCCUGGGUGUGGUCCUGCCCUUCUUUUGGAGAGGGGGCCAAGGGGGCCUUGAAGGCCUUACCCGUAAGCUCUACCCUCUUCCCACCUGCCUGCCGCAGCCCCUCCCUUCUGGUGUACUACAGAGGAAACGGUUUGUUUUGUUUUAUUUCUAUAGUUUACCAAACUUCCCAGCCAACCUGCUGAGUGCAUUUCCCCAAUUGCCAACUUCUGACACCAGCACCCUGCAGCCAGUGGCCACCUGCUGCACAAGCUGGCCCCAGGCUCAGGCCACACUCCUGCCACCUCCUCCACAAGACGUGGUGUGUGACAGUGAAGGGAAGAGGUGAACGGGGUAGGAGUGGCCCAGUACCUGGUGCAGGGACAAAGAAUUUUACUGUCAAAUUAGGGUGGGAAAGGGAAAACAAAAAAGACCCAAUCCAGAAACAAAAACAUCAUUAGACAUUUGCAAAAAGUCAUCCAAACCAAGCCUUUAGAAAGCCUGGGCUGGGCCUCCACUCAUGCAGAGGAGGGGCAGACAGCACACAGAGGAGCAGCUGCCCGGGCAACGAGGCAACACUCUGGGUGCCAGGCUGGGCAUGCGGUGCGCUCUGGCCAGAACACAAAGGACAUCACCCUGUAAGCUCUCAGUUAUGUGACYUUCUUUCUUUUCCUCUGUUUUGCCAAACGUGUCUGUGUGUGUACACACAGAAGAACCGACUGGCAAUUCCAGACAGAGACAGAGACA